AGGCAGCAGUGGGGAAUAUUGCACAAUGGGCGAAAGCCUGAUGCAGCCAUGCCGCGUGUGUGAAGAAGGCCUUCGGGUUGUAAAGCACUUUCAGCGAGGAGGAAAGGUUACUGGCUAAUAUCCAGUAGCUGUGACGUUACUCGCAGAAGAAGCACCGGCUAACUUCGUGCCAGCAGCCGCGGUAAUACGAGGGGUGCAAGCGUUAAUCGGAAUUACUGGGCGUAAAGCGUACGCAGGCGGUUUGUUAAGCGAGAUGUGAAAGCCCCGGGCUCAACCUGGGAACUGCAUUUCGAACUGGCAAACUAGAGUCUUGUAGAGGGGGGUAGAAUUUCAGGUGUAGCGGUGAAAUGCGUAGAGAUCUGAAGGAAUACCGGUGGCGAAGGCGGCCCCCUGGACAAAGACUGACGCUCAGGUACGAAAGCGUGGGGAGCAAACAGGAUUAGAUACCCUGGUAGUCCACGCCGUAAACGAUGUCUACUCGGAGUUUGGUGUCUUGAACACUGGGCUCUCAAGCUAACGCAUUAAGUAGACCGCCUGGGGAGUACGGCCGCAAGGUUAAAACUCAAAUGAAUUGACGGGGGCCCGCACAAGCGGUGGAGCAUGUGGUUUAAUUCGAUGCAACGCGAAGAACCUUACCUACUCUUGACAUCCUCAGAACUUUCCAGAGAUGGAUUGGUGCCUUCGGGAACUGAGAGACAGGUGCUGCA
RNAcentral lists this ribosomal RNA (707 nucleotides) under Shewanella sp. RNAcentral describes it as "bacterial SSU rRNA". It matches the Rfam family "Bacterial small subunit ribosomal RNA", at positions 346 to 1045 of the family's 1533-position model. Lineage: Bacteria; Pseudomonadati; Pseudomonadota; Gammaproteobacteria; Alteromonadales; Shewanellaceae. The record is from RNAcentral.